Molecule: long non-coding RNA, 681 nt
Filed under: Medicago truncatula (barrel medic)
Lineage: Eukaryota; Viridiplantae; Streptophyta; Magnoliopsida; Fabales; Fabaceae
Description: lncRNA gene23500
Source: RNAcentral
UGACAAUUUAUAUGGGAAUGGUAGGAAUAAUUUUCAAAAAUUAGAUCAAAAUUAAUGUUCAAGAUUAAAUGGAGAUAUUGAUUCGCAUGUGCCUUUGUCUUUCCCAAGUCCAGAACUGAAAACUCGUUAUUUCCUUUCAUGAACCACCACUCCAAAUCUCACCCACAAGGACCACAAUAAACUAUGCCACCCAUGAACAUUCAAAACUUCGAUUUUAGUUAUUGUAGUCAAAUUUGAUUCUCAUUUGUUGCACCUCUUUCUCAUGGAAAUAGAGCGAUUGUCUAGAUUCCAUGAAUAAUAAUAAUAAUAAUAAUAAUAAUAAUAGAUCGAUUGUGUAUAAAGAGAAUACAAGAGUUUGAUCCAACUUAUUCACUUUCAAUUAUAUUCUUAAACAAAUUUGUCUAUAAGAAUGUUAUAUUUUUUAUGUUAUUUAAAAAGAUAAGAAUUUAUAUUAUAUUUUAUAUAUUGUUGGUGUCAUUAAAAGAUUAAUGUAGUUUGUUUAAAUAUGAAAAGGCAAAAUAUUUAUAGCUGUAAUAUACUUUUCGUAAUUUAUAAGUAGUAUUAAUGCUUUUCUUCUCAACGCUAUUAAAACAUUGUUAUUUAAUAGCAUUUUUCAAGCGCUAUUAUAGGAUUUCAACCUAUAGUAUCGGGGUUUUCUUAGUGCCUGAAAAACACUAUUAA